Molecule: transfer RNA, 72 nt
Organism: Camelus ferus (Wild Bactrian camel)
Lineage: Eukaryota; Metazoa; Chordata; Mammalia; Artiodactyla; Camelidae
Rfam family: tRNA
About the family: Transfer RNA (tRNA) molecules are approximately 80 nucleotides in length. Their secondary structure includes four short double-helical elements and three loops (D, anti-codon, and T loops).
Source: Rfam
GAGGGUAUAGCUCAGUGAUAGAGCAAGGGCUUAGCAUACAUGAGGUCCUGGGUUCAAUCCCCAGUCCCUCCA